UACGGAGGGGGCUAGCGUUGUUCGGAAUUACUGGGCGUAAAGCGCACGUAGGCGGCUUUGUAAGUUAGAGGUGAAAGCCCGGGGCUCAACUCCGGAAUUGCCUUUAAGACUGCAUCGCUAGAAUUGUGGAGAGGUAAGUGGAAUUCCGAGUGUAGAGGUGAAAUUCGUAGAUAUUCGGAAGAACACCAGUGGCGAAGGCGACUUACUGGACACAAUAAUUGACGCUGAGGUGCGAAAGCGUGGGGAGCAAACAGG
RNAcentral lists this ribosomal RNA (255 nucleotides) under uncultured bacterium. RNAcentral describes it as "partial 16S ribosomal RNA". It matches the Rfam family "Bacterial small subunit ribosomal RNA", at positions 524 to 776 of the family's 1533-position model. The record is from RNAcentral.